UUGGCAUAUUUCCAUUGCACAUGACUCGAGCUUGGAUACGUUUUAUCACCAGCUACUUCAUCUAGUGGAACAGCUUCAGUGAUUUCUUUGAGGUCAUCUUCCUUGAGAUUCAGACUUAAGGAGCCAAUGUUGGUAUCCAGGUUCUUAAUCUUUGUUGUCCCUGCAUGUAUAUGUAUGUGGAAAUUAGUUCAAAGUAUUAUAAUCUUUGUCGUCUGCAUUAUUUAACUUGAAGAUCGACGAAGAGGUUCUCAGACUCACCGGGGAUUGGUACAACGUCAUCACCUUGGUGGAGAACCCACGACAGUGCUAGUUGAGCAGGAGAGCAAUGGUGCUUAGUUGUAGCAAGGCUUUCUAUUGCCUGGUAUAUGUGUCUGUUCUUCUCCAAGUUCUCUCCAGUUAGCCGAGGAUGGGAGGCCUGGUAUUACAAAAUCCAAGAUUAUGUCACAUACUAAUGCCAUAAUGAAAUGCUCGGUUUCUGAAUUACAGAGCUCUCUGUUUAGACGUGUGCUAUAUCAUGCUCUAUACGUGUGUUCUAAGUUUGUCAUAGAAUUUGAGAAGAUAUCAAUGUAAGGGAGAAAACGAUUUGUACCCCAUGAACAUUUGGAUCCAAACUUUCGACAACUGCUUUGCCUGCGAAGAAACCACGACCAAGAGGACUAUAUGGAACUAUUCCAAUGCCACGCUCCCUGCAUCAUGUGAUCAUGAGAAUUUAAGAUUGAUUGAUGUACAUGUGAUAUGGGAAUCGAAGAAUAGUAUGAUGGAAUGGAAAAACACCAUCAUUGUGCAUGAAAUCUUUAUAUUCAUAUAGCAUUCCUAAAUCUACACAAUCUGUAUGAUGUUUACAUCAUUCAUUUUCAUCUGACGAUACCAGCCCAUAUGUACACCUCUGUCCCUCAUUUCUGCAUUUGUUCUUGUGUGUCCUUAUCAAUGCUACUUUGAUUAAAUAUAUCAGAUAUUAGAAGAAAUUAAAGAAGAUUCAACUAAUAAUGAUAGGUGAAUCUAUUUGUGAGAAUGAAAGAACUAUCAUCAUCCCAAUUCACUCUCUAGUUGGAAAGACACAUGUCUUCGAAAAAUUUUAAGGAGAAUCUCACCGAUUAAUCAGUAAUAACACCCUAGCAUCUUGUUGAAUUAUUCAAAUGCAAAAAGAACUGGAAGGACUCUAUGAAAAAGAGAAUGGGAACAUUUAAACUCUAGACAAUGUUCCAAAUAAUGCUGAUCAUGAUAUAUUUGUUUGAUCCGUAUAUCAUACACUCUUAUAUGAGUCCUUGUUAUUUAUGCUCUUCAUUUUAAUAUAUAGCUUACAUGUAAAUGAUGAUUACAAAGAAUUAAUGAUGACAAUUAUAUUGAACAUUUUCUCAGUUUAUAUAUAGUGAGGGAUACUGUGUUGAUCCUACCAAAAAAAAAAAAAGUUUAAUACAUAAAUAUUAAUCUUGAAAUGAAUUAAUUAUAUACCUGCAAAGUGGAAUAAUCUCUUCUUCAAUAUCUCUAGUCCAAAGAGACCACUCCAUUUGCACAGCUGUGAUGGGAUGCACAGCAUGUGCUCUCCUUAUUGUGUCUGGACUGGCUUCAGAUAACCCAAUAUACUUGAUCUUUCCUUCUUCCACAAGUUUCUUCAGCUCUCCCAUCUAAAAUCCAACAACAAAAAAGAGCAAGUAUCUUAUCACAUUUCCGUCUGGGGUUGUUUCGGAUGCUCGAAAUUGUUCUCUAUAUUGGUAGUAUGCAUAUGUUCAAAUGAAAAUUACAGUUUGAUUUCAAACUUACAGUAUCCUCUAUUGGCACCGUUUGAUCAAUGCGGUGAUAAUAGUAGAGGUCAAUGUAGUCGACGCCAAGACGCUUCAAGCUAGCCUCGCAGCAUGACCGGACAUACUCAGGAGUUCCCUUCACCACCAAGCGAGGAGGUCCUAAGCUUACAACACCAAACUUCGUUGCUAGUUGAACCUCUUCCCUUGGCAACUGCUUCAGGGCCUAAAACAACAUACAGAAAAUUAGUCUGCCUCUCAUUACCACUAUCUGUGAUGUUUCCUCAAACUAACUACCCCAUUUGUGGAACUGGACUUUGAUAGUAUCAGAAUUCAGUAACAAAAAUUCACAUUGCAUUUGAUAAUCUCUACAAAAACACUUGGACAAAUGCUUUAAGGAAAGUUCACCAGCGAAGGUGUGAUCAAAUCAUCAAAUCAUCAAAUUAUCUUACUUACCUUGCCAACAAGAAUUUCAUUGGCAUGAUCAGUUCCGUAUAUAUCAGAUGUGUCGAAGAAAGUGAUUCCUUUACUGAAGGCAUGCUUUAUAAUGGAGAUUCCAUCCUCUUCAGCACCAGGAGACUUGACAAACGUCAAUCCCAUGCAUCCAAACCCCAAUUUUGAAACCUGAAGUUAAUGCAAUUAUGGGAUAUAAGAAAUAAACCAAACAAAGCUACUCAAAGGAAGUUAAUUAUUCAGGAAUGAAAGAAAAUGCAGGAGGAAUAUUAUAUCUGACCUCAAAUCCUUGAGUUCCUAGUUUAACCUUUGGGAUCUGUAUUUCCUUCUGUUCAGCCAUUUCUUCGAUCUCUUCCUGCGAAUGAUUACUUUUGAGUUGUGAAACUGGGAAUGGGAUUGUCAAGAGUGAAGUUCAAGAUUUACGAAACUCUUUAGUCUGUAGUGUUUGAAAUUGUAGAUAUGAUUCUGUGGUUAUAUAUGUACUCUCACACUGGCGAGUGACAUCAUUGACUAUGUCAUAGUAUCUAGUUCUCAUAAUCUCAUUGACUACUUUUCAGAGUAUCUGGUCCUAGUUAUAGCAAUAUGUCAAUAUGGCUUUUCUUUCGGUAAGUGAUUAUGUCACUACUAAACAAGUAAUAAUUGACAUCACUGCUUAUGCAUGUCUUGGCUUUACUGCUUGCAGGGGUACACCUUGUGCAUUACUGCGAGGAUGACAAAAAACAGUGUAUACCAUAAAUCUUUAUCAUUUGGCCCAAAGCCAGAGGCUUCCGAUACAAACUGGCCAGCGCUUUGUCACCAAAAGCAACAUUCUUGAGUCAAAUAGAUCCAACCUCCAAUCAAAUUUUAUUGUUGACAUGAUAUACCCAAGUCUAAGAGUAACAAUACAAUAUUAUUACCAACAAUAAACCGAGCUAAUUAACUUUCUUCAACACUAUGUCUAAAAAUCAUUAGACCACGUGCAAAGAUAAUUUACUCAUAUAUUAACAAUCAGACAACAUCGCAAUGAGAACAUUUAUGUCACACUCAGAUUUUUGAAAUUUUUUAUUUUUUAUUUUUUUAUUUAGGUGUAACUCAUAUUCCAAAACUAGAAUAAAUUUUCCAUAAAUAGAAUAUGAAAGAAAUUGGAAAAGAAUACAUUGAUACUCAACUGAAAGAUCACUCUUUAUUUCCAAGUAGUUCAUAAAGUAGCUUACAAAGAUAGCUAGACUAAUGAAAGUCUACAUCUUAUUCUAAGAAAACAAACAACAAACAUAUUUCACAUGAACUAAAACAUUCUUACAAGAAAUCAACUUCAGACAACUUGUUCCUCACUUGCAAAACAUUUAGAGGGGUGAGCUUAAAUAGCCUAAUAGGAGACAAAACCUCUUCAAACAAUACAAAUCAGAAUACAAUAUUUAUAUACAUGUGUAUGAUCUGCUCCAUAUAGUUCAUAUAACAAAAUACACCAAGUCUAUAUGUCUCAUAUCAUGUAUUUUACCACAAGGGCGACUUGGAGUAUCUAUUUACAUAAACUAUCUCCCUCUAACCCCUUUUGCUAGUCAUCUUGUCCAUUCCCCUUUCACCAAUCUCGAAUUACCCUUUCCAUAACCUAUACUACUUGCGCAUCAAUAUGGGCAUACCUGGGAUAUGGUUCCUACUGAAGAUAUGGACUCAACUACACAAAAGUUUUAUUACUCACUUUUUUAUCCCAAAUGCUUUAUGCAUAGUACUACACUCUCUUAUACUUUAUAUGGAAACAACACCUUUAUGAAUUUAAACAAACCAUAUCAGUAAUCUGGCAACAAGAAAAUAAACAAUUCAGACAAUCCGUAAAACCACUUAUAAGGCAAACAUAGAGGUUCCCCAAGUUUCCUCCUACCUUUGCCGGAUCGAUCUUCAAGUUUCAAGCUCCUAAUAAAAGAUGAAUCAUUAGUUAAAAAGUCUAAGCUAAACUGCUGAAACAAGAAAUAAAGUACCAAAACAGUAAAAAAAAAAACAUGUUUUUCUAUACUUAAACAUGAUUUUCUGUACCAGUUACAAAUAGACUAAAAACUGUACAAAGCUGUUCAUAAUUUGACUUCGAGGUCUUCUAAUGACUUAUAGCAGGCAAACAGAAGAAACUAUGAGAGUUGGAAUCACCUUAAAACGAUUUUUAUUGAAUUAGUUAUGAAUUUUCAAAAUUCAGCUUCAAGUUCAGGUUUUUCUGAAAAUUUUGCUAAAAAGAGUUUUCAAAAGCAAAACAAAAACUCUAAGUGAUACAAAACUUCUAGGUAUUUAAUAUAGACCUUUUGGUGUUAAAACAAAAAGAAAUCACACAAAAUUUUCAGUGUAAAGGACUGAACUAAAGCAUCACACAAAUAGCAGAGUAAACUAGCAACAAGUAAAAGUAGUUCUAAAUCUUAUAGCUAGCUUUAAGCAACCCAAAAAUCAUGGUUUCUACCUUCAAUAUCAGAAAAUAAUGACACAUAUAAGAACUUUAUGAUCUAAUCUCAAUACCUAUACAAGUUUGAACAAAGGAAACCAUUAAAACGAAUAAACAGUAAAAUAGUACCAAAUGCAGAAACCAUUUAAAGCUGACCUUCAAUUUCGAAAAUUCAUAACUUAAUCUACAGAAAUUCUUUUCAAGAGAUUCAAACUUCUAAAUGAUGUUUAACAUGUGUACUACAACUUUCAUGAAGACACAAACUUCAACUACUCAACUGAAAUGCACAGAUAUUAGUAAAGAGACAGCUGGGUCGAAAACUCAGAAUACUGAUAUGCAGAAUUUCUUAUUGCAGACCCUGGACUUUGAAAAAUCAUAUCUUAAUCUAAAGAAAUCCUUUUUGAAGUGAUUCAAAUUCUGGAAUAAUCUUUAGGAUGUCUGCUACAACUUUUAUGAAGAAACAAACUUCAAAUAACCAACCUAAAUGUACGGUUUUUAGCAACAAAAUGACUGACUCCAAAAUACAAGAAAGCUGAUUUGCAGAAUGUUCAACUAUGUUUUCAGCUUCAAACUUGACUAAUGAAUUCUAAAUGAACUUGCAUGAAACUACCCAGAUAUCAAGCUAAGAAUAUGACCUUUCAAGACAUGCAAAUGAUUUCUAAAAUGCAUGAUUAAUUCAAAAGAUAUGGCUACUUAGAGUUAACUAAAUGAACAAGUUACAAAAACUUUUCCAUUCAAAUGUCACUUCAGUUCAUGCAAAGUCUAAGGUUCCUAAUCAGUUCUAUGGAUGUUUAAAUGCUCAUAUAGGUUUCUUAGUCAUUCUAAGAUCUUGCUGUAUAAGAGAAAACAAGAGUAUCAAAUUCGAACAACAACACUGUAAUUACUCAGGACACCCAAACCUGUAGAACUAAAGUUCUAUAAUUAUCUUCAUCAGUUUCUAUUCUGUUUGGAAAAGAAUAAAUCUACUACAUGAACAGAAUCUUAAGCUAAUUCAAACAAUAGCAACAACAACAAUAACAAUAAUAUCAUAUAUUUGAUUCUCUAGCUGUUAAUAACAUAUAAGAACUGAUUUGGCUAACAAAGAUAUCAAUUCAAAAAUAACCAAAACUAAAUGAUUAGUAAUCCUAUUUGCCACAGAAUUCAAUAACAACAACAAAACCAUAGGAACUAUCCAAUCAUACAAGAAUUCCAACAUGAAUUCAAAAUCUAGUUUCACAAACUAAGAACAUAUAAACAAACCAAUUAGUUAGAAUGUAAAAAAAAAUACACUUGACACCAAAGUAUCUCUCUAAGUAUGAAUAGCUGCUGAAAACCUAUCUCAAAAUGUAGAAUGUUCUACCUAUUUAUAGGGUCUAAAAAGGGGAUAAAACUUGGCGUCCAAGAGAAGAACAUAAGAAGUAAAAUUGGAUUUGUUCAAUCGAAAUCUUACCCGUUUAGGUACUAGGCUAGACCCCUAGGGUACUAGCUCCUACUGCAUAGCUUCAAGUUGUCAUCAACUGGUCUCCAAGCAAUUGACACGUCCUGCUUAAAGAGGUCGGCUACCCUUGUUUAAGCUUUUCUAGGUCGGUUUCUGGGUUUCAAGGUGGUUGAGCAAGAUUUCGGAUGGGACUGAUCAUGGUUCCGGAUUGAGAAGCAUCUGGUGGAGGAGAAAGUCGGUGAAGAUGAAGGACAAGCUUCUGAGUUUAAGUCGUGUUUUCUGUCUAUCCAUUUGCGACAACACUUUCUAAACAAUGUUUUAGUUUGGGCUCAGGUUUUGGGUUAAUUGAUGUUGGGCCAAGUUUUGGUUUAUGGGCUAAAAACUCUCCUAGAAAAAUAAAUAAAAUAGAAAUAAUCUAAACAACUAAAACAGUUUUUAACAUGUAUUAAAAUAGAAAUAACAUAUAUAUAUAUAUAUAAGUGGACAUCCGCACUCCGGCUUAAAGUGCGGAUGUCGUCCGUUCUCCGCCGUCUCACGCCGACGACGGCUUCUCUCCUUCCCGGACGACAACACAGGCUUUCAGGACGACUUCUCUCCUUCCAGGACUGGCCGGCGACAAGUUUUCUGGCCAACCUUGAUCAAUCAUGGUGUUUUCCAUCUAGAGCUUCAAUCCGGCCGGAAAACUUGUCGCCGGCCAGUCCUGGAAAGAGAGAAACCGUCCGGGAAGGAGAGAAGCCGUCCCCGGCGUGAGACUGCGGAGAACGGACGACGUCCGUCACAUCCUCUCCGUGUAUAUAUAUAUCUAUACACACAAAAGAUUAAAACCAACAACGCAGAAAAUUAGUUAAAAUUUCUGAGUUGUCACAAUUUAUCCCCAUAAAUGAUAUCACCAAAGUAGCAUACCAACAAAACCAAAGAACCCAACACUCGCUCCUACACCAAUGAGACCAGAAGCCAAUGCUAACGUGAGGGCGCUGCCGGACAAGCGAGAUACUCAAUAUGUUUUCCUAACCAUAAGCCUUAUGUUAUUGCAGAGCAAACGAGACUCUUUAGAUGAUGACUACUCUGAGGGUUUUUUUUUUUUUCGUGGUUGGUAAUUUGUUGACUUCUAAUUGGAUUCUUAUAUCAGUUUAAUGGUUCUAGGGUGUUUCUUCUUUAAAUAAAUUCAAACGUGUCUUUACCAUUUUUACAUUCCUUUUUACCAUUUCCUUAUAUUGUAGAUAUCUACAAUGACUUUUUACCUUCCUAGAUCAAAAUUCAUAAAUACAAAUUGGUACAAAAUUAUAGCGCCAUGAGUAAAAAAGUUUAGCCAAUUAGUUAUUUUUGUUGUAGUCUAUGCAAUCAGUUGGCUUGAAGGGUACUAUGUUUUUAUCCAAAUUAGAACCAAAUUUAUAAAUCUGUCUGAAGCAUGCCCCCAAAAUAGCCAAAGUCAUCAGUGCCGCCCACGAUUACAAGGCAAUACAUCCCAUUCUCGCGAGCUGUUAACACCUUAUUGCUCAACAACACUUCGCCACCACCCUCAAAAUGUAAAGCAAUUCUUGGCAAUUCUGAAGGCGUUGUGGUAAAAAAACAAAGGGUAUCCAACCCAUAGUUUUUAUUUACGACUGACUCUAAUGGAACUGCCUUUUGUAUCUUAGUUACCACCCGGUCAAACAGAUCUUUUGGUAGUCGUGGAAAAGGUGUACCUGAGUCGAUCAACAUGUUAUCUUUUUUCAGCAGGGUACCAUUUGAGUUAAAUGGAACAAAAUCAUUUCCGAUGCUAAUUCUUGAUACCAUCACAUAAUAAAAGGUUGUAUGAUUGACUAAAGGUGUUGUCACCACCUCUUCAUCCAAAACUUUACUUGACACGACCCACCCCGAAUUUCACCCUGAAACCCGGAGUAAGUCGUGCGGGGACCACCUCCAAGGAAAAUUUACUGAAAAGAUUAAGGAAAUCUCCCUUGCAGAUGGACAACCCUAACUCGAAAAUUCCAAAUUACACUCUUAAUUCAACACUUCCAAACAUCACAUAAUUAUCCUUUAGAAAUUCUACACAUAAUAUACAAUAAUCCCAAAAUAUUCAGAGCUACUAAACACUAGCGGAAGCAAGAAAACACGAGUAGGUUGAACAUGUAACCUACUGACGAAAACUGGCAGAAAUGCGGGUGACUAUGCCUCGCCUCCUACUAGAUCCAACCCGAACUCUGCAGACUGGGCAAUUUAAAACGAAGGGCCCAGGGAAAAACAUUUAAUAACGUUAGAGUGAGUUGACAAAAAUAAAAUAAUAAAUAAAAUAUUUAUGUUUCCCCAAAUUAAUUUCUAAGGAAAAAUCGAAUGCAUGCCGCAAGCGAUAAAACUUUUAUCUCAUAAAAAAAUCGAGCCUCUCAGACUCUAUAAUAUAUAUAUGUAUUUACACUCGUCGAUACUCCCUAUAUAAAUUCAUGGGUCUAUAUAGGGCUACUACGCUCGCGUCCAACGCUCACGUCACGCCCUAAUGCGGUGCUACACUACGCCAUCAAGGUGGACAGACGGGUGUAUCAAUAUGUGUCCAUACCCCCUAUAUGAAUUAAACACUCAAAUAGGGCUACUACGCUUACGUCCAACGCUCACGUCACACCAUAAUGCGGCUAUAUGCUACGCCAUUAAGGUGGACAGACACAUAUGGCUAGCUAGCAUUUAUAUACUCUCUCAUAAAUACAUAUUUAUAUCCACCGAAAAUCCCAUUUUCGGUAACUCUCCAAGAGAAAUAAAAAUCGUCAAAUUAAAAUGACGUUAAAAUAUUCUGCAACAUUAAUUGUUCAACCAUGAACUAUAGCAUGCAUUUAUUUAAAAUAAACGUCCACUCACAAAUUAGGCCUAAGCCUGAUGUCGAUCUGGGGCCUUGUCUGCUCGAGCCUCCUCACGUCCUGUUCCAAAUAUAAUAUUAAUUUCCCAACCAAUAAUCCAAUAUUUAAUCAAAAUAGGCAAAAUUACCCGAGGGCCAUAAAUACGCUCAUCAUUGCCUAACUUCGAUAUUCUUAAAUCGGGACGAUCCGAACUUAAAUAUCAUACUCAACAGUCGUAAAUACAACCUCCCCAAAAUACGACUUAAAUCCUACGGCCGGAUUCUACAUUAAUUAACCGCCAAAAAUACCAAACUUCGGAAAUUCACAAACCUACCCAAAUCUCAUCCAAAAAUUCCAUAAAUCACAUCAAUAUACUCCUCUUAAUAUUCCACACUUAAAACCCUAAAAAUCUCCUAACCGGCGGCGGCCGCCGGAGGCCAAUUCCGGCGACCUCCAAAACCUAUGAAAUUUUGACAGAAUAAUCUCCUCAUCAUGCUCUACAACUUUCCUGACCAACACAUCACCCAAUUCCAAGCCUAACUAGGCUAAUCGAACAAAAACAUCCUAAAAGCCCUAGAAAUUUCAACUCCACAUUUCUCCUUACCUAGCUCAAGAGGGAGUGAGCUGAUUGGAGGGGUUGUUGCACGAGAGGAGGGCUACAAAAUGAGCCAAGGAUCACUGGUUUUGGUGGCCGGAGGAGGGAGCUCCGGCAAGAGAACCACCACGGCAGCUAGCGGCUCCAGGCGACGUUUCUCUCUCACGGCGGCGCUAGGGGAGCUGCUACCGGCCUAGAAUGGAAGCUGGGUUGGAGACCGAUCGAUUGGGACCGGUGCGGCGGUCUGGGGCGGCAGGACGGCGGCGGUCGGGCGGCCGGAAGGUUUGGCUGCGGGAGGACUCGGGGAGAAACCGGGAGGAAAAGAGAGGAAAAGAGAAUGGGUUUGGGCCUCACACCCCAAACCGGUCCAUCACCUAUAUACUACCCAAUUCUAAAAUAAAACACCCCGAAAAAAUAAUACCCGAAUAAAAAUUACCUUUUACUAGCUAAAAUUUAUCAUUUUUACUGUUGACAUAAAUUCUCCCACGAAUGAUUCCCCGAAAUUAAUCGUCCCUUUAAAACACCUCUAGGGACCAAUUAAACUAUUACCUCAAUGACGGAGACGGUAAAAUUCUUAUUAUAAUCAAGCUAGUAAAUAAGGUAAAAAUAUAAGGGUCGGGAUGUGACAUUACUCUUGUUCCUGAAAUAGAUCUUGCUUUCCAAAUUGGGAUCUUACACCAAACAAUGAGAGAAUCUCUUGCCUCCAACAUAAGGAGCAAUUUGAGAGACAAAUGACAAGGGCCCACGCCUAAGCCCUAUAACUCCCAUUUCAUUUCCAGUGCUAAAAGUGUUAUUGUUCGUAGUCUUACACCUAAAGAUAAUGUCUUUUAGGAUUACAACGUUACAUGUAGUGGAUUUCAACAAAAUUGUUUCUCUACUUAGAUUACCUAUUGUGUAUGUCCUGUCUGCAUAACUGUACAUGUACACGUAAUUUGUAGAAGGUUCUUUUUUAUACACUCAUGCUAAACUCGGGGUAUAGGAUUCGCCAAGUAGUCUACAGUCCCCUGACUGACAUGUAAUGUUCUACUAAGUUGAUGAGUUUCUCAGGUUAAAAACACCAAACUUGGUCUUGUAACAAGCAUUGCAUGGCUCACAUUGCGUCCAUAAUAGAUCGCUACCAUUAUCAGUAAUUGCAUAAAUAUCGAUAGGCGGAGUUCUCAUUGAGAACUUCAUAAUACGUUCGAAGUUGGUAUCAAGUUUCAUCGGUGCUUCGGGAACUUCUGGACCUAUCAACCGUCGAGAAACUUUGUUGUUUCUUUGUUUGUGCAAUGGUGAUUUGGGGGAAUUUUUAUGGAUAAGAUGGGCGCUAAAUUCACCCUUGAUAUUGUUGAUAUUGGUUGUUGCUGUAACAAUAUAGUAUCCAAGAUGAAAGAAAAAAAGGGUGAUGAUGACUAUAGUAUGGUUAAUUCUUGGUGAAGAACAAAGGGUAGCCAUAUGAUCGAGUUUACAUGAUGAUACACGAAAAAGAAAAAAAAGACUUGAAUUCGAGGCAAGAUCACAAAGGAUUUCAAAGAUUUGUGAUCUUUAAAUGUUAAAAGGUUACUUCACUCCACAAAUAUCCAGUUAUGAUUGAACGUUAAAUUUUAGUUAAAGAUCACAAUUGAUUGUUCAUAUAGAGAUUGUAAAUUUUGUGUUUACAGCUGAAAAACCACUAUUCACACUUGGAGACAUAACAUUAACGUGGACGUGGUUGUGGAAAAUCUAUUUUUAGAAAUAUUUGAAAUGUGAUGUGGUCCACGUUUUUUUGAAACAACUCUGUACUAGUAGUUUUAUAGGGCAGAGCCUCAUUUGAAGAGUUUUUUUUUCUUCUUUUUUCUUUUCCAAAUAUUGUAUUUUGCAAUAAUUUCCUACCAUACAUUUCAAAAUUAGUUAAUUAAGUCAUUAGAGUGUAUUAAAAUAUUACCUGAAAGAGCACAAAUAGUUUUAGUACAGAGUUACACGUGCUAAGUUGAAUCCAUAAGGAAUGUAUGAAAAAUGAAUAAACUAAUCAAAUCAAACUAAUCGAUUCUAAAUGAAUUUAACGCUAAUUUAGUUGAAUAAAAGUUGGUUGUGAUGCAAAAUUAAGUGAUCCUAGAUUUGAGUCUGACCAUCCUAACUCCAAGAUGAGGCCCUAUGCUCAACAUAAUGCCCAAACCCAAUUCUAGGAUCUUUUCGCUACCGUCGUCGCACCGUUACUAGUAGAACUCGAAAGAUAAAGCACACAAGCAUAGAGCCGAAUCUGCACCCUUGAAGGACAGAGUGAUUGACGCUACCUCACAACAUAUUUGUUACUUUAUCAGCAAGUAACUUUGUCAUCUUAGCCUUCAUUUUAGAUUCAUAUAUCCAUUCUUUUUAUCCUGUUUAAUUCCUUCUUUUGCACAUCAACCAAACUGAGUUUGCAUACUUUGCAUAUGUAGGCAGACUGACCAUGUUUUGUGACGAAGUUGCAUACCUUCAGUGUUGUUUGCUAUUCGAAUGCAAAAUGCAUUGGCCUCUUCAUGUCUAGACAGUAAGUGUUCUUCUGUCAACGGAUAUUCGCCACCACGCACUCUUAUCUUCUUUGUUCCCGAAAAAGAUCCUGCUUUCAAUGUAUGUUCUAUGACAACAGAUGAACUACAAAAACCACAUUACAUUGCAGAGCCCUUAUAUUUACUAUCAUAUAUAUACUAAAUGAAGUCCCACUCUGAUACCACACAGAAGUUUCAAUUUAUUUUCCAUCAAAGAAUUGAACUUUCUCAGAUUAUGUAAGAGGAGUUUUUGAGCAAAUGUGAUGUGAAUUAGUGUUCAAGAAGUUGUACUGAAUAUAUUGAAGGAGGGAAAUUACAUGGAGCCCUCUUUUAUUAUAUUGGUGUACUACGACAAGAAGCAGCAAAUUUUAAUUCAUGUGGAUCAAUUUCAUAAGAUGGAACUCUAAAGCUAUCAGAUUUUGGAUUCUUUUGGGGGAGUGUUGGCGAAUCUCCAUUCCAAGUGCAUCAGGUUUCCAUAAGUUCUACCACCCGCCACUUGGUCUAGUGGAACAGCACCAGAAACUUGUUUCAAGUCUUCUUCCCCAAGUUUCACCUUUAAGGAGCCAAUGUUUGCGUCUAGGUUCUUUAUCUUUGUUGUUCCUGCAGUGGAACCGGAAUGUCAGUAUGACAGGGAUAUAUAAGAAGUUAAGAACAUAACAGAUGAAAAGGACAAUGAACAAUUACUCUUAGAAUCCAUAAUUUUGGAAGUCAUGUUUUCAUUGUUGAGAACAAAUAUGGAAAUGAUGAUGAGUCACCUGGGAUAGAUACAACAUCAUCUCCUUGGUGAAGAACCCAUGCAAAUGCUAGUUGAGGAGUACGGCAUUGGUGCUUUUGAGCAAGGCUUUCCAAUUGAUUGUAAAUAGUCUUGUUCUUCUCCAAGUUCUCUCCUACGAACCGAGGAUGGGAUGACUAGAACAUAGAAAAGAAAACUGAUUCAAUUAACCAGUAUAAUUCUGUUUAAGCAGCCGGAGCCGUGCACCGCCAUAUCUCGAGUCAGGGGGAGGAGGAGUUUUGGUCUGCUAUAGACUGGUUUGAGUCCAGAAAUGGAGAGGGAGGUGAGUCUAGGGUACCUUUUAGGAUGUAUGGCCCCGAGUUGACAUGCAUGAGCAUGGAGAAUAUGACUGAGUUUCCUGGUAGUACUGGGAAUACGCCGUUGAUGCACACAGCUGUGUUUAAUACGGAGAGGAGGCCCGUACACGUGUCGUAUCAUGUCGGAAAUGUGGAAGGGGAAGGGUUGAUAAUGGUGAUGCCAUCUCCCGAAGGAGAGCUCGCGAGGAUGGUUACGGUGACGUUGCCGGUGGAGGAACUAGAGCAGCUACGUGAGGAUGAAGCUGUUCUGAGCCUAAACCCAAUAAGUGGGACGAAACAAGCAUAAAUUUCUGUUAUGUCUAUCUCUGAAGGAAUAAAAAGGUCUGAACGAUCUUUUUCAAGUUGAUUUUGUGUUUAUGUACUUUAAAUGUGAUUAUUACUGCUCAAAAAUUGAAUUAAAAUAGAACCUGAUCGAUAGCCUCACACAUCUUGAGCUUGAUUUUAUAUAUAUUCUGUUUCACUUCUGUAACUACUCUCUCUCUCUCUCUCGCUCUCUCUGGGUCUCUAUCAGAGCUAGGAGAUUAGGCGUAGGAUAGGUUUAGGUUUNUGUAUACGAACUAUAGUAGUUAUANAUAAGAGGUAGNUNUAUAGAGAUUNUUNUUCUUCUUNNAAGAAGAUUUUGUUUUUUUUUUUUUUUUUAUAAAUUUUUUUAUUAAAUAACUCACACACCCAAUAUAUGUCAAUGAGGUUUGAACCCAUGACGUCAAAGUUGUUAGUUAACCACCUUAACCAACCACGCCACGGCUCACCGACAAGGAACUGUGAUUUAGGGUUCAAUUAAUAUACACAUGCACACACAUUUAUUGGGAAAAAAAUGUAAUACACGCAUGAUGUAGACAAAGAAGCAACAUCAAGAAAUUUAAGAUAAGUUCAGAAUGAUCUAAAUCCUUAGUGAGUUGGUGUUACUUCCGGUAUAAAAUUGUAUAAUGCAGUUCAAAUAUCACUGAGUAUAUAUUAUUUUGUUAUUGGAAACGAUAACACUUUAUUCAUAAUAACUAGUAGCAUUACAUUGAAACUUGCAUGUCACACAGUGUGGCGUAGAGAAAAUAAGUUCCCCACAUAUGAUACUACUCAAAGAAGUACAAUGGGAUAUGAUAUCCCCAUAUUUAACCUACUUAUCAUAGAGAAGCUUCGUUUGCCUCAAAUACACAUAUUACUGAUGAUUUAGUUCAGAGUCUUUUGAGGAGUGUUGGCAUAUUUCCAUUGCACAUGACUCGAGCUUGGAUAAGUUUUAUCACCAGCUACUUCGUCUAGUGGAACAGCUUCAGUGAUUUCUUUGAGGUCAUCUUCCUUGAGAUUCAGACUUAAGGAGCCAAUGUUGGUAUCCAGGUUCUUAAUCUUUGUUGUCCCUGCAUGUAUAUGUAUGUGGAAAUUAGUUCAAAGUACUAUAAUAUUUGUCGUCUGCAUUAUUUAACUUGAAGAUCGAGGAAGAGGUUCUCAGACUCACCGGGGAUUGGUACAACGUCAUCACCUUGGUGGAGAACCCACGACAGUGCUAGUUGAGCAGGAGAGCAAAGGUGCUUAUUUGUAGCAAGGUUUUCUAUUGCCUGGUACAUGUGUCUGUUCUUCUCCAAGUUCUCUCCAGUUAGCCGAGGAUGUGCGGCCUGGUAUUACAAAAUCCAAGAUUAUGUCACAUAGUAAUGCCAUAAUGAAAUGCUCUUUUUCUGAAUUACAGAUCUCUCUGUUUAGACGUAUACUAUAUCAUGCUCUAUACGUGUGUUCUAAGUUUGUCAUAGAAUUUGAGAAGAGAUCAAUGUAAGGGAGAAGACGAUUUGUACCGCAUGAACAUUUGGAUCCAAACUUUGGACAACUCCUUUGCCUGCGAAGAAACCACGACCAAGAGGACUAUAUGGAACUAUUCCAAUGCCACGCUCCCUGCACCAUGUGAUCAGGAGAAUUUAAGAUUGAUCGAUGUACAUGUGAUAUGGGAAUCGAAGAAUAGUAUGAUGGAAUGGAAAAACGCAAACAUUGUGCAUGAAAUCUUUAUAUUCAUAUUGCAUUCCUAAAUCUACACAAUCUGUAUGAUGUUUACAUCAUUCAUUUUCAUCUGAUGAUACCAGCCCACAUGUACACCUCUGUCCCUCAUUUCUGCAUUAGUUCUUGUAUGUCCUUAUCAAUGUUACUUUGAUUAAAUAGAUGAGAUAUUAGAAGAAAUUAAAGAAGAUUCAACUAAUAAUAAAAUUGUACGUAUACUCUCAAGCUAGUCAUGGUAUCAAAGACAAUGUGAUAGGUGAAUCUAUUUGUGAGAAUGAAAGAACUAUCAUCAUCCCAGUUCACUUUCUAGUUCGAAAGACACAUGUAUAUAGUAACGGAUACUGUGUUUGAUUCUACCAGAAAAAAGUUUAUACAUAAAUAUUAAUGUUGAAAUGAAUUAAUUAUAUACCUGCAAAGUGGAAUAAUCUCUUCUUCAAUAUCUCUAGUCCAAAGAGACCACUCCAUUUGCACAGCUGUGAUGGGAUGCACAGCAUGCGCUCUCCUUAUUGUGUCUGGACUGGCUUCAGAUAACCCAAUAUACUUGAUCUUUCCUUCUUCCACAAGUUUCUUCAGCUCUUCCAUCUAAAAUCCAACAAGAAAAAAGAGCAAGUAUCUUAUCACAUUUCCAUCUGGGGUUGUUUUGGUACUAAAUGCAUAUGUUCAAAUGAAAAUUAAUUUCAAACUUACAGUUUCCUCUAUUGGCACCGUUUGAUCAAUGCGGUGAUAAUAGUAGAGGUCAAUGUAGUUGACGCCAAGACGCUUCAAGCUAGCCUCGCAGCAUGACAUACUCCGGAGUUCCCUUCACCACCAAGCGAGGAGGUCCUAAGCUUACAAUACCAAACUUCGUUGCUAGUUGAACCUCUUCCCUUGGCAACUGCUUCAGGGCCUAAAACAACAUACAGAAAAUUAGUCUGCCUCUCAUUACCACUAUCUGUGAUGUUUCCUCAAACUAACUACCCCAUUUGUGGAACUGGACUUUGAUAGUAUCAGAAUUCAGUAACAAAAAUUCACAUUGCAUUUGAUAAUCUCUCAAAAACACUUGGACAAAUGCUUUAAGGAAAGUUCACCAGCGAAGGUGUGAUCAAAUCAUCAAAUCAUCAAAUUAUCUUACUUACCUUGCCAACAAGAAUUUCAUUGGCAUGAUCAGUUCCGUAUAUAUCAGAUGUGUCGAAGAAAGUGAUUCCUUUACUGAAGGCAUGCUUUAUAAUGGAGAUUCCAUCCUCUUCAGCACCAGGAGACUUGACAAACGUCAAUCCCAUGCAUCCAAACCCCAAUUUUGAAACCUGAUGAAGUUAAUACCAUGAUCGGAUAUUAGAAAUAAACCAAACAAAUCAAGCUACUGAAAGGAAGUUAAUUAUUCAGGAAUGAAAGAAAAUGCAGGAGGAUUAUAUCUGACCUCAAAUCCUUGAGUUCCUAGUUUAACCUUUGGGAUCUGUAUUUCCUUCUGUUCAGCCAUUUCUUCGAUCUCUUCCUUCAAAUGAUUACUAUUGAGUCGUGAAACUGGGAAUGGGACUGUGAAGAGUGAAGUUCAAGAUUUACAAAACUCUUUAAAAUCUGCUGUGUUUGAAAUUGCAGUUUGGCCAUAUGAUUCUGUGGUUAUAUAUGUACUCACACACUGGCAAGUGACAUCAUUGACUAUGUCAUAGUAUCUAGUUCUCGUUGACUAUUUCAAAGUAUUUCUCCCUCGUUAGAGUUAGAGCACUAUGUCACUAUGGCUCUUUUUAUGGUAAGUCAUUAUGUCAUUGUGCCACUACUUAACAAAGUAAUAACUGACAUCACUGCACAUGCAUGUCUUGGCUUUACCGCUUGCAGAGGUACACCUUACUUGAGCAUUAUUGGGAGGAUGACAAAACAGUGUUUACCAUAUAUCUUUAUCAUUUGGGUCCAAAGCCAGAGGCUUCCAAUACAAACUCGCCGGCGCUUUGUCACCAAAAGCAACAUUCUUGAGUCAAAUGGAUCUGACCUCGAACCAAAUUUUAUAAUCGACGAGUUACCCGAGUCUAAGAGUAACAAAACAACAUUGCAACUGACAAUAAAUCAAGUCAAUUAGCUUUCUUCAACAUCGUGUUUAAAAAUUAUCAGAUCACGUGCAAAGACAAUCCACCCACAUAUUAACAACUAAACAACAUCGUAAUGAAAACACUUAUCCACAUGAAUGAUGUCACCACAGUAGCAUAUCGACAAAACCAAGGCAACCCAACACUCGCUUAAAAGCAUCCCACCCACACCAAUGAGACCAGAAGCCAAUGCUAGCGCGAGGGCACCACCAGACAAGCGAGAUACUCAAUAUGUUUUCCUAACCAUAAGCCUCUUGUUUUUGCAGAGCAAAUGAGACUUUUUAGAUGAUGACUACUCCGUAGGUUUUUUUUUUUUUCGUGGUUGGUAAUUUGUUGAUUUGUAAUUGGAUUCCUAUAUCAGUUUGAUGGUUCUAGUGUGCUUCUUCUUUAAAUAAAAUCAAACGUGCCUUUACCAUUUUUACAUUCUUUUUUACCCAGUCGGGAUCCAGAGAGGACGUCUACAUAGCCCUUAAAGUGCGGACAUCCCUCCGUCCUCCACCGUACUGCUCCGACGACAGCGCGUCUCCACCCAAGCGGUCUAUAGCAACGUCCCCGAUCACUUUCCCUCCCCGGCGAGUCCGCCGAAUUCUAGUUUUCUAGUGAGAUCACCCAAAACUUCGAACCAAAUCGAUCUCACUGGAAAACUAAUUCGGCGGACUCGUCGGGAAGGGAAAAUGAUCGGGGACGCUACUGGAGGCCGCUAGGGUGAAGGUGCGCCGUUGUCGAAGCCGUAUGGUAGAGAACAGAGGAACGUCUGCACUUUAAGGGCGUGCGGACGACCUCCUUAGAUCCUCUCCACCUUUUUACCAUUUCCAUUGUAGAUAUCUACAAUGACUUUUUACCUUCCUAGAUCAAAAUUCAUAAAUACAAAUUGGUACAAAAUUAUAGCGCCACGAGUAAAAAUGAUUAGGCAAUUAGUUAUUUUUGUUGUCGUCUCUACAAUCAGUUGGCUUGAAGGAUACUACGUUUUUAUCCAAAUCAAAACCAAUUAAUAAAUCUGUCUGAAGCAUGCCCCCAAAAUAGCCAAAGUCAUAGUGCCACCCACGAUUGCAAGACAAUACAUCCCAUUCUCACGAGCUGUUAACACCUUAUUGCUCAACGGCACUUCUCCACCACCUCAAAAUGUAAAGCAAUUCUAAAGGCGUCGUGGUAAUAAAGCAAAGGGUAUCCAACCCAUAGUUUUUAUUUACGAUUGACUCUAAUGGAACUGCCUUUUGUAGCUUAGUUACCAACCGGUCAAACAUAUAUUUUGGUAGUCGUGGAAAAGGUGUACCUGAGUCGAUCAACAUGUUAUCUUUCUUCAGCAGGGUACCAUUUGAGUUAAAUGGAACAAAAUCAUUUCCGAUGCUAAUUCAUGAUACCGUCACAUAAUAAAAGGUCGUAUGAUCAACUAAAGGUGUUGUCAUCACUCUUCAUCCAAAACUUCACUCCUGUUCCCGAAAUAGAUCUUGUUUUCCAAAUUGGGAUCUUGCUUGCCUCCAAAAUAAGGAGCAAUUUGAGAGACAAAUGACAAGGGCCCACACCCAAGCCCUAUAACUCUCAUUUCAUUUCUAGUGCUAAAAGUGUCAUUGUUCGUAGUCCCACACUUAAAGAUAAUGUCUUUUAGGAUUACAAUGUUACCUGUAGUGGAUUUCAACGAAAUUGUUUCUCUACCUAGAUUACCUAUUGUGUAUGUCUCGUCUGCAUAACUGUACAUGUACACGCAAUUUGUAAAAGGUUCUUUUUUACACACUCCUGCUAAACUUGGGGUAUAGGAUUUGCCAAGUAGUUUACAGUCCCUUGACCGACAGGUAAUAUUCUUAUAAGUUGAUGAGUUUCUCGGGUCAAAAACACCAAACUUGGUCAUGUAAUUAACUAUGAAACCAUUAGGGUUUUCUUGAUUGAAACCAUUAUUAGGUUAAUUAUACAGUAAGAGGUCAUAUAAUGAAAUCUUUAGUCUUCCUUAUGAUGACAAAUGAACUGUGAUUUAGGGUUCAAUUAAUAUACACAUGCACACACACAUUUAUUGGGAAAAAAAAUGUAAUACAUGCAUGAUGUAGACAAAGAAGCAACAUCAAGAAAUUUAAGAUAAGUCGAGAAAUCUAAAUCCUUAAUGAGUUUGUGUUACUUCCAGUAUAAAAUUGUAUAAUGCAGUUCAAAUAUCACUAAGUAUAUAUAUAUAUAUAUAUAUAUAUAUAUAUAUUAUUUUGUUAUUGGAAACGAUAACACUUUAUUCAUAAUAACUAGUAGCAUUACAAUGAAACUUGCAUGUCACACAGCGUGGCGUAGAGAAAAUAUGUUCCCCACAUCUGAUACUACUCGAAGAAGUACAAAUGGGAUAUGACAUUCCACAUUUAACUUACUUAUCAACGAGAAGUUUCGUUUGCCUCAAACACACAUAUUACUGAUGAUAUAGUCAAGAACUCAAGAUUGAGAUGAACUAGUUCAGAGUCUUUUGAGGAGUGUUGGCAUAUUUCCAUUGCACAUGACUCGCGCUUGGAAAAAUUUUAUCGCCAGCUACUUCGUCUAGUGGAACAGCUCCAGUGAUUUCUUUGAGGUCAUCUUCCUUCAGAUUCAGACUUAAGGAGCCAAUGUUGGUAUCCAGGUUCUUAAUCUUUGUUGUCCCUGCAUGUAUAUGUAUGUGGAAAUUAGUUCAAAGUAUUAUAAUCUUUGUCGUCUGCAUAUUUAACUUGA
This 19688-nucleotide long non-coding RNA is filed under the name Fragaria vesca (wild strawberry). RNAcentral describes it as "long non-coding RNA (FVES_LNC002721)". Lineage: Eukaryota; Viridiplantae; Streptophyta; Magnoliopsida; Rosales; Rosaceae. The record is from RNAcentral.